RNAcentral lists this ribosomal RNA (383 nucleotides) under Drosophila petalopeza. RNAcentral's name for it is "partial 16S ribosomal RNA". The stretch from base 259 to 383 matches the Rfam family "Bacterial large subunit ribosomal RNA", at positions 2473 to 2597 of the family's 2925-position model. Lineage: Eukaryota; Metazoa; Arthropoda; Insecta; Diptera; Drosophilidae. RNAcentral also lists the same sequence under 1 other name. The record is from RNAcentral.
GAAAUAUUAACUGUUUCAUUUAAAUUUUUUAUAGAAUUUUAUUUUUUAGUCAAAAAGCUAAAAUAAAUUUAAAAGACGAGAAGACCCUAUAAAUCUUUAUAUUUUGUUUAUUUUAAUUAUAAAGAUUAUUUUUAUUAUAAUAAAUUAAAAUAUUUUAUUGGGGUGAUAUUAAAAUUUAAAAAACUUUUAAUUUUUAAAACCAUUAAUUUAUGAAUAAUUGAUCCAUUAAUAAUGAUUAAAAAUUUAAGUUACUUUAGGGAUAACAGCGUAAUUUUUUUGGAGAGUUCAUAUCGAUAAAAAAGAUUGCGACCUCGAUGUUGGAUUAAGAUAUAAUUUUGGGUGUAGCCGUUCAAAUUUUAAGUCUGUUCGACUUUUAAAUUCUU